AUUGCUUCUUGGCCUUUUGGCUAAGAUCAAGUGUAGUAUCUGUUUUUAUCAGUAAAUGUUUUUGAACUGUAUACUUUAUAUAUAUUUCACUAUAU
Small nuclear RNA from Oryctolagus cuniculus (rabbit), 95 nucleotides. Its record names the gene U2. It matches the Rfam family "U2 spliceosomal RNA". From Rfam's summary of the family: U2 is a small nuclear RNA (snRNA) component of the spliceosome (involved in pre-mRNA splicing). Complementary binding between U2 snRNA (in an area lying towards the 5' end but 3' to hairpin I) and the branchpoint sequence (BPS) of the intron results the bulging out of an unpaired adenosine, on the BPS, which initiates a nucleophilic attack at the intronic 5' splice site, thus starting the first of two transesterification reactions that mediate splicing. NCBI's taxonomy places the organism in Eukaryota, Metazoa, Chordata, Mammalia, Lagomorpha, Leporidae. The record is from Ensembl.